Molecule: microRNA precursor, 80 nt
Organism: Gorilla gorilla gorilla (western lowland gorilla)
Lineage: Eukaryota; Metazoa; Chordata; Mammalia; Primates; Hominidae
Source: Ensembl
UGCCCCUGGUCUGAGUUCCUGGAGCCUGGUCUGUCACUGGGGAAGUCCAGAGCUCCAAGGCUCAGUGCCCAGGGGACGCA